CUUAGUAAACGCAUGACACGCCACGCACACCACCGAGAGAGCAACGGAGCGUGAUUCACUCAAGCUCCGUCGCACGCCAUGGACGCAUGCAGGGCUCGCGGGGCGGCGGUGGUGGCCAAGUACGGGGAGAAGAGCGUGUACUUCGACCUGGACGACAUCGCCAACACGACGGGGCAGUGGGACCUGUACGGCAGCGACGCGGCGUCGCCCUACAACGGCCUGCAGAGCAAGUUCUUCAACACCUUCGCCGCGCCCUUCACCAAGCGCGGCCUGCUGCUCAAGUUCCUGCUCAUCGGCGGCGGCUCCCUGGUCGCCUACGUCAGCGCAUCCGCCUCCCCCGACCUGCUCCCCAUCAAGAAGGGGCCCCAGCUGCCGCCCACCCCGGGACCACGCGGCAAGAUCUAAAUCUAAUCCUCGCCUCGCCUCGCCUCGUGCUUGUGUACCAUGGAUCCCGUCUGAUCUCAUGGAUCGGAAUCGGAUCCCCCGUAUCCAUGUCUUUCUGUUGAUACUUGAUGCUGUACCUUGUUGCCUACGUGAUGCACACAAUUACUGCUAGAUCAUUUGCUCUUUAAUCCCUUUCGUUGUACCGCUGUGUGGUUUUAAUCACUUGUCCAGUGUGCGUACAGUGCCGAUCGAUCCAUCAUAUGCAUGUCACUCGGCAAUACACAUUGUCCAGCCGGCCUACUCUACUCUAUGUGCACAGCUGCACAAGUAAUGUUAGUACAAAGUUAAAUCAUUCGUCUUAAGAAGAAGGAAGUACUUACUACUCCCUCCGUUCCUAAANNNNNNNNNNNNNNNNNNNNNNNNNNNNNNNNNNNNNNNNNNNNNNNNNNACAUAUUUUAGAAUAUAGAUUUAUUCAUUUUGCUCCGUAUGUAGUCUUUUAGUGAAAUUCCUAAAAGGUCUUAUNUUUUGGAACGGAGGGAGUAGUAAUUAAGUAGUAACAGUUGCCGUUGCGGCCAUCUGUUUUGGUAGCGUCUGAUAAAUACCAUCAAUCAUGCAUUGCGUGGUCGAAUCUGACAUGCAUUGCAAAACUCCUAUAACACACUAGAAAGGUUGCUUUCAUGGAAAACAGGGUCUAGCUAGAAGAGUUCAACGCUCAGUAGUUCAGAAGUAUGCUAAAAAAUCACAUGUCCAUUUCUCAGGCUCAGUGUGGAAGAUCUCAUGAUUAUUUGGUUCAUGUAUAGAGCAUGGGGGGUCACACUUGAGCAGCACAUCAUCUUGGCCUCUGCACCAAAUUUCCAGUGGGGAUCCAACACAAUGGAGAUACACACAGGUGUCCGAAAGCGUACAUAAACCUCACAAGUCACAAUGGUACACCCAAAGUUCUGCACCUUGAUCACAAUGCUCUCAACACAUAUUUACAUGCAUUUCACUCCGGAGGCUCAAGCACACAUGUGUCUCCCCCACCCCCCCUACGGGCAGCGGCGCGCAACUAGUGUCUAGAUAUGGGGCUCCUUGUUCCGCUCAGAUUCUCNNNNNNNNNNNNNNNNNNNNNNNNNNNNNNNNNNNNNNNNNNNNNNNNNNNNNNNNNNNNNNNNNNNNNNNNNNNNNNNNNNNNNNNNNNNNNNNNNNNNCUGCACUCGGAUUUGUUCGUUCCCUUAUUGACGCUUCUUGGAUUAGACCGCGGAUAGAAAGAUUUCAUGAUUUGUUCAUGCUUGGUAGAUAGAAAGAUUUCAUGCUGGCUGGGGGCUGGCCGGGGAGAAAGCAAGAAAGAUAUCCAUAUAGCAAAUUGACACAGUUCCUUGCGAUCAUGUACACCAUGUAGUACAGUCUCUCAAAAUUGAACAAGACAAGUUCACUUGUAGCAUGAAAGAGAGUAAAACCAAUGUAGUACAUGUCUUUGUGCAGUGGUACUAUUUUACUAGUAGCCAACAGUAGAGGGCACUGUUGCAGAACAGCGGCAGCCUAUUUUACUAGUAGUGUACUACUUGCAGGUUACAGUAGUAAUUGAAAAGAUAAUUCUUUAUCAAUAUGUGUUUAUGCUUCCUUCAAAGAAUCUUUCUCCAUUUAUGCCUAGAGAUAUAUUUGAUUAAAUUGUUCUUCGUUUCAUUGUUUGCAGGUAAUACCAAGACUGUUAUAAGAGGCUCCUUGGAUACUCUACGACUACAUUUCUUAAAAGAUGAGUUCUUGUAACCUUUUGGUUGCCCUCAAUAGUAUCAGGAAGCAUAUUGAUUAUGAUUUCUGUGAUGUUCAUGGCGGGAUCAUAAAGCGAAAUAAAUCCACUUUAGUUGCUUUCCUAUCUAGGAUUAAUAAAAAUGAGCUUGCUCCUGUUUCAGGAGAAAAGAUUCCCACCAUUUGUCCUUUACUCUCUGAGGAUAUGAUACAACUUCUGAUAGGCUUGCUUCAAAUUUUCAAAGACAUGUUUAGAGCAAACAUUUGUCUCCGCAAUUUUGAUGAGAAUCACAUAGUUAUAGUGGAUGGGCAUAUUCCAAAAAUUAUUCAAAAUGCAUUAUUCGUGGAAUCAACAGAGGGGUAUAUGAAUCAAAAUGUCAUGUGCUUAGGUCAAGUAAUUGAGAAUGUUGUUUUUGCAAACUGUCAACUCUUGGCCGAGUCGAAGGACUUUGUUAAUCUGUUCAAGGAUGGGACGAAAAACUUUGAUCUCAUUAUUGUGCACCCCACACUAGUACACAUAUGUUUCAAAAUAGAUUAUUUUGGUAACACCCAUGAUUUCCUAUUGAAAUUCAUAAAAAAACUAGAUAACGCAGCUUAUACUGACAUAAUCAAUGAUCUUGAUUUUCCAGCUGACUGGGAGACACUGAUUGACAGCAAUGACCAUUUAAUCAAGUGCUAUUCGAACCGGCAAGUCGGGAGAGGGAAGUCGCGAGCUGCUCCAAGUCAAUCAGGCACAACGAUAGUACAUCCUCAAACUCCAGCAGUCAGCAGUAGUGGGACUCCACAUGCCCAAGGGGUCAGCAACAGUGGGAGGAAUCCACCCCAGACGAACCCUGCUCCAGUGAGUAACCGAGACUGCCUUUCUUUACUUGUCCUUUUCCAGCGUGUGGUGUGGAAUUCCUUUUCCUGUUCUUUCUUUUUAUUGGCUUCUUGGCUCUUUUUGUAUUUCCCCUUUGCCUAAUCAAUGAAAUUUGGCAGCUCUCUUGCCAGCAUUCAAAAAAUAACCGAGGCUGCACGCAACCCAUGUUCAGGGAGAAGCUUUCCUGCCAACAAGUUCAGUCCAGCGCUGGCGCAGGCAUGCCAUCCUCAAACUCUACCAGAGCCCCAAUGAGUAAAGAUCCACCAGUUAAGAACAAGGCUCCAAUGGCAGCAUCUGUAGGUGGUAAACAGGGACAACCAUCAAACAAGGGCAAGGCUCCACUGACAUCAUCUUCAACCACUACUCUUUUGAGUAAACAACGACAGCCAAAUGUUUGCCAAGAUUCGUCAUCCUCCAAGCCUUCCAAGCCUUCAUUGAAGAUGAAGAAGAAGAAGAAGAAGUACAACCUACCUGGAACAAAGUCCCCUGAAGAAGUAAUGAAGUAUUACAGAAAUAGUGGGAGGCACGGGGUGGAUGAGUCAGUGAAAGACCAGCAACUUCAGUUUGGAGUCAAGGCCCUGAACAUAAUACUGCUCUUCUACUUCCAAAAACUCCUUUGCAGCGCCCUCAGGGGGAUCCACAGAAAGAACUACCUGAGUCGCAUGGAGACUCUGCCACGGGUGCUGCGUUAGACCAGGUCACUAGGACAGCUGCUUAGAACUGCGAUUGGUCACUCGUACGGUGGCCACAGUGGACAAUACUGUGUUGUCUACUGAUGUGUAUACUGUUACUACCAUGGAUCACUAGUACUGUCUUAUUUUUUGAAACAUAAGUAGUUCGUUUAUCCAAGUUGCCUUCAGGUUUCUUGCUUGCUUAUUGGCUUGGGGGGUUCAUAUGCAGUGGAAUUCCGCUGUGUGCAUUAUUAAGACCCUGUUCCGAAUCUCUCCACUCGGCUCCAGUACUUGUGAGUUGUGGAGCUCGGUUUUAGCCACUCCGUAAAAAUCUUUUGACUCCGUAGCAACCGUACUAGUAAAAUAGGCCGCCUCUGUUCUGCAACAUUGCCCUGUACCAUUUGCCUUUUAGACUCUCUCAUGCUACAAGUGAACUUGAUUUGUUCAAACUUUGAGAGACUGUACUUCAUGGAGUAGAUGGAUGACGUACCAACCCUUAGUGAGCUGGUGGCCCUUAGUGGCCUGAUGAGGCCAACCUAAUAGAGCUAUUUCGGCUAGUGCAACAAUAAAGGAAAAAAAAAGGAGAGGAGGUGGGCAAGAAGAAAAUAACUCCUCCUCCAAACCAAUUGAAGGAGGAAACCUUCCUCCUUGGCUCGNNNNNNNNNNNNUACUUGGAGUAGGAGGCAAGGCAGUCACCCCUUGGUUCCUCCUAUAUAUANNNNNNNNNNNNNAGGGUUUUUGCACCUCAAGCCUUUGUGNNNNNNNNNNNNNNNNNNNNNNNNNNNNNNNNNNNNNNNNNNNNNNNNNNNNNNNNNNNNNNNNNNNNNNNNNNNNNNNNNNNNNNNNNNNNNNNNNNNNUUUCGGAAAGCCGUGCCCGCGGUUAUGUGGCAACGUGGAAACUUUGUUUAACACUGGUUCUAGAUAACGUGAAGCUAAUUAAUUAAAAUAUGCCAACUGAGUGCGUAACCAUGACUGUCUCUUUCGUGAGUUCUUUCUCCAAUCGAGGACACGGUGGGGUUAUGUCUGACGUAGGUAGGUGUUCAGGAUCAUUCAUUUGAUCAUCAGUACUCACGUCCGCAAUGAGUAGAUCUUCCCCUCUUAUUUCUUGUACUCGUAAGAUUAGCCACCAAAUAUAUGCUUAGCCGCUGCUGCAACCUCACCACUUAACCAUGCCUCACCCAUUAAGCUUUGCUAGUCUUGAUACCUUUGGAAAUGAGAUUGCUGAGUCCCCUGUGGCUCACAGAUUACUACAACACCAGUUGCAGGUACAGGUAAAGGUUAUUUGACGCGAGCGUGUUGAUUGUUCAUUUGGAGUUGCUUCUUCUUCUUCUUCUUCAUCGAUCUAGGAUGGGUUCCGGGUCGGCAGCCUGGGAUAGCAAGGAUGGGCGUCGUACUUAUUUUUCUCGUUUGUUUUCGUCCGUAGUCGGACCCUGCUCUUACUCUUGAUGAUUAUGUAAUGUACUGAUGUGACUCUGAUGUAGCUUGUGGCGAGUGUAAGCCAAUUCUUUAUAUAUAUCUCUUCUUUUCAGUACAUGUACUUGUAACGAUAUCCGUUCUUGCGACACGACGAGAUGCGCUUCUAUCCCUGACGAGGCCUUCGUGCCAAAUUGAGGAUAGGGUCGCAUCUUGGGCGUGACACUUCACCACAAUGGAUUAUGGCUCCGAGGUGACCUCUAUUGCUCGGGGCAAUCUCCACAACCUAAUUGGAGACCCCGACGCUUGCGCGGAGCUUUACUGUUGGAAAUAUGACCUAGAGGAACUAAUAAAGUGGUUAUUAUUAUAUUUCUUUGUUCAUGAUAAUCGUUAUUAUCCAUGCUAGAAUUGUAUUGAUUGGAAACUCAAAUACACGUGUGGGUACAUAGAUAACACACUCUCCCUAGUGAGCCACUAAUGGACUAGCUCGUUGGUCAAAGAUGGUCAAGGUUUCCUGGCCAUAGACAUGGGUUGUCAUUUGAUAACAGGAUCACAUCAUUAGGAAAAUUAUGUGAUGGACAAGACCCAAACUAUGAAUGUAACAUAUGAUCGUGUCAGUUUAUUGCUAUUGUUUUAUGCAUGUCAACUAUCUGUUCCUAUGAACCAUGAGAUCGUGCAACUCACUGACACCGGAUGAGUACCUUGUGUGUAUCAAACACCGCAAUGUGACUGGAUGACUAUAAAGGUGCUCUACAGGUAUCUCUGAGGGUGUUUGCUGAGUUGGCAUGGAUCAAGACUGAGAUUUGUUACUCCGUGUGACGGAGAGGUAUCUCAAGGCCCACUCGGUAAUACAACAUCACAACAAGCUUGCAAGCAAUGUGACUAAAGAGUUAGCCAUGGGAUCUUGUAUUAUGGAAUAAGUAAAGAGACUUGCUGGUAACGGGAUUGAACUAGGUAUGGAGAUACCGACGGUCGAAUCUCGGGCAAAUAACAUACCGAUGGACAAAGGGAAUAGUAUAUGGGAUUGAUUGAAUCCUUGACAUCGUGGUUCGACCGAUAAAGAUCUCCGUAUAAUAUGUAGGAGAAAAUAUGGGCAUCCAGGUCCCGCUAUUAGUUAUUGACCGGAGAGUGUCUCGGUCAUGUCUGCAUAGUUCUCGAACCCGCAGGGUCUGCACACUUAAGGUUUUGUAACAAUUUGGUAUUAAUGAGUUAUGUGUGAUGGUAACCAAAAGUUGUUCGGAGUCCUAGAUGAUAUCCCUGACGUCACGAGGACUUCCACAAUGGUCCGGAGGUAAAUAUUGAUAUAUAGGAAGUUGUUAUUCGAGGUCCGGAAAAGUUCUGGAACAUGCCGGUUUUGUGACACGAGUGCCGGAAGUGUUUCGGGGAUCCAUCGGGAGGGUCCACCUGCCCUGGAGGGCCCCAUGGGCUACAAGAGGGGGCACACCGUCCCUCCCACCAAGGCCCAUGCGAUAGGAGGUGGGAGCUAAGGGCGUGUUUGGUUUCUCUGCUCACACCUGCAUCGCACGAGGCAUGCAAAAUGUGGUGUGUUUGGUGUCGUGUGCGACCUCCUCGGCCUGGCCCAACUAAUGCAAAAUCGGGCCUCUCAGCUAGGCUGAGAGGAACACAGGAAUCGAGCAUUCCCGCGAUGUAGCCUCGCGCCUGCACCCGCGCUUUCACUUAAAACGAAGCGGUACACGAGAAUGGCCCUAAUGUUAUCCAGAAUUACUUCAAAACUUCCACCACAACUGUAACGACCAAAAUGCGGUCCUUUCCGAUCUGGGGGUCGAGGCCCCGAAUAGGAAAGAAGCGCAUCUAAGCGUUUCGCAAGAAAGUAACAUAGCACAAAUAAUAAUAAAAGUAGACAAUUCGGGAUUCAACUGUCUUCUCAUUAAUAACUCAUAGUACAUCACAGAUACAAUCAAGGUAGUUCCGCUACGGACUACAUAAACAUAGAAAUGCUAUGCUACCCUGCCUGCACGCCCACGAUCACGACCACGCCACAGUCCUCCGGAUAGUUCACGUAGAGGCGGUCUGUCUCCUCGUCGUACUGCCACGCCAGCUGGGUGCCGUCGGGAUCAUCUGUCUCUGGGGUACGUGUACCUGUUGGGAGUUUCGGAGGAAUCCGUGAGCCACGGGGACUCAGCAAUCUAAGACCUUGGUGCCAGAACUAGUCAUGUUAUUAGGUAGGGUAAGGGUGAAGUGUAUAAGGCUGCAGCAUCCUAAGCUUGAUUUAGUGGCUAACUUACGUAAACAGUUAUGAAGGUGGUCUACACUAGCGGUCGUGAUUACUUGAUCACUAAUUGAUCCUGAACACCUACCUACGACAUUCAUAACCCCACCGUGUUCCCGAUCGAAGAGAGAUCUUCGAGGGGACAGUCACGGUUACGCACACCGUUGGCAAUUUUAUUAGCUUAUGUUUAAGUUCUCUAAUACCGGAUGUUAACAAAAUAUUCCAAGUUGCCACAUAACCGCGGGCACGGCUUUCCGAAAGAUUAAACCCUGCAGGGGUGCUCCAACUAGUCCAUCACAAACGAACACAGGCCGCAAAGGCAUCCACUAUCACGAAUCUCGUGAUCUCGUCGGAUUCCUUAGAGGAAAACCUCAACUCUCGGGGAAACCAAAGCCUCACUGGGAUUCCUAUACGCAAGAUAUACCGCUAAGGUAAGACAAGGCUAGCAGGACCUCCCGUCAUGUCGACGACCCUGAUAAGAGUCGUGUAUCUCAGUCUCAGGACACAACGGAUGAGCUAGACGUCGGGAUGGCUAAACCUCUGGGUGACCAGUGGGGCCCCGGACAUCGCUCAGGUGGGACCAACACUCAUGAGGAGCACUGGCCCGGGUUGUUGAUUAAAUUUCUCGGGUAGCUAUUCCCUAUGCAGAUUAUUAUGUGAUUAGCAGAUUAAAACCAAUGUUGGGUCCUGCCGGACAAGCCUUAGCACUACGCGAUUUAUCAAGGGGGUCCCCAUAACAACCCUGAACGUGUUAGGAGCGAUCAUUAUGGAAUCAAACACCGGUAACCGGUAACUAAGGCGGCAAUAACGGAACAAAGCACCCGGCAAAAGGCUAGGCCUCCCGUCAUUUACCAAGUAUAUAGGUGCAUUAAUUAAAUAACAGAAUUUAAGAUAAUGAUAUCAAGCUCAUGUUAUCACAUGAGACAAAGCACGUGCAUCUAGCAACGCUAUCAUUAGUAGCUGAGCAAAGCCUACUUAGCCAUACAAGUUUUGCUAGGAAGGGGGACGGUGUUUGGGCUCAUGGCAUAUCAAGAGGCAAUUUAAUUCAGUGGUAGGCAACGAGCAAUAUGACAUGGAAACGAAACUAGCAUAACAAGUCUAGAGAUGGAAUCAAGGUCAUAUCAUCUUGCCUGUGAUAUCCUCAGCUUGGAAUGUUUCUGGUUUGUCCUGCACAUACUCUCCUGACUCCACGUAUUCGUUCUCCGAUCCCGGUGCUACCCAAAAUAAUAAUAACAACCAAUGAACAGCACCACCACAAGAUGCAACAAUCACAUGAUGCAUGAGAUGAAAAAUGAGCAUGCAUCGCUAUUUCUAUCACUAGCACAAGCAAAAGAAACUACUACAAGUUUCUGGACAGAACUGUACACUAAGCUAUUUUUACAUGCAUGGGGAUGGCAUGAACAGAUGCGGCUCGUGAAAACGAUGCAAAACCAUAUAAAGAACUUUGCAAACGGAGCUACGGAUCAACGGGAAUAUCAACGAAACAAGAUAUGAAGCUCUACAUGGAAGAAUCAACACCACACCCACAAUUGGCACAAAUCUGGUAUUCCCAGGUUGCCAAGACAUAUAACAACCCAACAUGAAUGGAUUGGAGCAAGGGAGAACACCACAACAUCAACUAAGCACACACAAUGAUCAAAAUGACUAUACUACUCAAUCUGCCAUAAUCUGCAUCUUAGCUCUUUGUGAGCUACAUGCAACAUAGCUACAGCCCUCCAAAUAUGACAAAUAAUAUAUGUGGCUGUAUACAACCAAGAACACUACAAGCACUAGCAAGAAUCACACCAAAAGGAAUUCAACUCUAGAAGAUACAAGGCCACAAACUUUCACAAAACCCUCAGAUCUCAGGGACUUAGUGAAAAUCCCUGCACCUGACUUUCUGUCUUUGUUCUGAAGCUUUUUUACAGCAAUCAAAACACAACCUACUGGACUCCAAAUGAGAUGAAAUUUGACAGGGAGCUUCACAAACAUAUCAGGUCCAAAAUCUUAGCACUGAAAUAAGGCUAGUUCCCAACACAAUGACCAGCACAACCUCAUCUAUAGGAGAAGAAAAUGUUUCCAGAUUCUCAGACUUAGUGAAAUUCCAGAUUUCACUAAGCUGGACUUUUUCAGCCACAUGCCCACUUUAUCUAGGCAUAGUUUGCACACAAAUAACACCAAGUGAUAAAUGACACCACUAUGGUGUAGAGCAAAACCCCUACUAUUACCACACGAAAACUCAUGCCCUUGGGCUCCACCUAUUCCAUGGAAUCAAAGAGCAAACUUGCAACAAAUCUGAAUAUGUCAACUCCAUAAAGUAUCCCAAUGGAAAAACUAACUUCACCACUGGAUUCCUUGGGAGAUUCUAUCCCAAAAUCAUAUAUAAUAUGUGGGAACUUACUUGGAACAAGUGACCACAAAUUAAGGGAGAGGAAACUACUCCAAAUCAUGCCUAGUGAAUAGGGCAUCAUUUCAUGUAGUUCCACUAUAACAACAACUACAAAGGUUGAGCUCAUGUGCACAAUGACAAAGUGACAUGGGGGUUUGAACCCCAUGUUUUUGUCAUGCCCAUCAACCCACAAGCACAUCUACCAAGUAGAUCACACACACAAUAGUCACUAUGCCCUCUCCAUAUGGAAAUGUGAAGGUGCAAGAAUGAUUUGCAAAGGUGGGGUUGAUCCUCACUAACACAUCAACUCCACAACACCCACUACACAUGCUCUUGAACCACACACAAAAUUGCAAGGCAUCUAGUAAGCCACACAUCAUGGAAGUACCAACACCUACACAUACAUAUGAACAACUAUAUGGUGCCACAUGAGCCAAGCCCAUGUAUGAGUGGAAAUCACAUAUACACACCACAACCAACAAGCACAACCACAUGUAUAUUACCUCACAUAUGCACACACUAGUGCACCUACAAGCAUGCACUAAGCUAGCACCACCACCACACAUACACUUCACCAAGUGCUCACAUACACACACAACCAACACUCUAGAGCACACACACUAGUGCAUUUGCAGGAAGGAACAACAUUAAAUGCUAUUUUCUUUAUGCCUAUUGUUUAGGCACAAGGAAUAGCAGAAAUUAUAGCAAGAAAAACAAAUAGGAUAUAAAGCAAAAAUAAAAGAGGCAAGCCUGGGAUUCGAACCCACAGCCUCCUGAUUGCUGGCCUGCGGUGCAACCACUCUGCUAUUGUCAUGAUUUUGACAAAGAGAGGGGCACAUAGCAAGUCGACCCUCUUGCUGCUACUACUACUAACGAACAGGGAAAUAAAACCCAAAAAGGGGCGGUGCACCACCGGGGACUCGAACCCUGCACCUUUCGAUGACCA
This 10600-nucleotide long non-coding RNA is filed under the name Hordeum vulgare. RNAcentral describes it as "long non-coding RNA (HVUL_LNC020792)". The record is from RNAcentral. Lineage: Eukaryota; Viridiplantae; Streptophyta; Magnoliopsida; Poales; Poaceae.